RNAcentral lists this ribosomal RNA (506 nucleotides) under uncultured bacterium. RNAcentral's name for it is "partial 16S ribosomal RNA". It matches the Rfam family "Bacterial small subunit ribosomal RNA", at positions 29 to 523 of the family's 1533-position model. The record is from RNAcentral.
AUUGAACGCUGGCGGCAGGCCUAACACAUGCAAGUCGAACGGCAGCACAGAAGAGCUUGCUCUUUGGGUGGCGAGUGGCGGACGGGUGAGUAAUGUCUGGGAAACUGCCCGAUGGAGGGGGAUAACUACUGGAAACGGUAGCUAAUACCGCAUAACGUCGCAAGACCAAAGUGGGGGACCUUCGGGCCUCACACCAUCGGAUGUGCCCAGAUGGGAUUAGCUAGUAGGUGGGGUAAUGGCUCACCUAGGCGACGAUCCCUAGCUGGUCUGAGGGGAUGACCAGCCACACUGGAACUGAGACACGGUCCAGACUCCUACGGGAGGCAGCAGUGGGGAAUAUAGCACAAUGGGCGCAAGCCUGAUGCAGCCAUGCCGCGUGUAUGAAGAAGGCCUUCGGGUUGUAAAGUACUUUCAGCGGGGAGGAAGGCGGUGAGGUUAAUAACCUCGCCGAUUGACGUUACCCGCAGAAGAAGCACCGGCUAACUCCGUGCCAGCAGCCGCCGUAA